UACGUAGGGUGCGAGCGUUAAUCGGAAUUAUUGGGCGUAAAGAGCUCGUAGGCGGCCUGUCACGUCGGUUGUGAAAGCCCGGGGCUUAACCCCGGGUCUGCAGUCGAUACGGGCAGGCUAGAGUUCGGUAGGGGAGAUCGGAAUUCCUGGUGUAGCGGUGAAAUGCGCAGAUAUCAGGAGGAACACCGGUGGCGAAGGCGGAUCUCUGGGCCGAUACUGACGCUGAGGAGCGAAAGCGUGGGGAGCGAACAGG
RNAcentral lists this ribosomal RNA (253 nucleotides) under uncultured bacterium. Its description in RNAcentral is "partial 16S ribosomal RNA". It matches the Rfam family "Bacterial small subunit ribosomal RNA", at positions 524 to 776 of the family's 1533-position model. The record is from RNAcentral.